Molecule: small nuclear RNA, 330 nt
Filed under: Cercocebus atys (sooty mangabey)
Lineage: Eukaryota; Metazoa; Chordata; Mammalia; Primates; Cercopithecidae
Description: 7SK RNA (ENSCATG00000007431.1)
Rfam family: 7SK RNA
About the family: 7SK was discovered as an abundant small nuclear RNA in the mid-70s but a possible function has only recently been suggested. Two independent studies have found that 7SK RNA binds the CDK9/cyclin T complex (known as elongation factor P-TEFb).
Source: Rfam by way of RNAcentral
GGAUGUGAGGGCAAUCUGGCUGCAAUAUCUUUCACCCCAUUGAUUUCCAGGGUUGAUUUGGUUGAUCUGGCUGGCUAGGCAGAUGUCUCCUUCUUCCCUCACCACUCCAUGUGUAUCCCUACCAAAGCUGUGUACUCGGUCAAGGAGGACAGCCAUCCCUGAUAGAGAAGGACUGGUCUUCAGUCAAGGGUAUAUCAGUAGCUAUGUCCCCUUCUAGAACCUCCAAAUAAGCUCUCAAGGUCAAUUUGUAGGAGAACAUAGUGUAGUCAAGCUUCCAAGACUCCAGACACAUCCAAAUGAGGUGCUGCAUGUGGCAGUUUGCCUUUCUAA